This 1911-nucleotide ribosomal RNA is filed under the name Salmonella enterica. RNAcentral describes it as "partial 23S ribosomal RNA". It matches the Rfam family "Bacterial large subunit ribosomal RNA", at positions 911 to 2802 of the family's 2925-position model. Lineage: Bacteria; Pseudomonadati; Pseudomonadota; Gammaproteobacteria; Enterobacterales; Enterobacteriaceae. The record is from RNAcentral.
UGUUUCGGCUAGGGGGCCAUCCCGGCUUACCAACCCGAUGCAAACUGCGAAUACCGGAGAAUGUUAUCACGGGAGACACACGGCGGGUGCUAACGUCCGUCGUGAAGAGGGAAACAACCCAGACCGCCAGCUAAGGUCCCAAAGUCAUGGUUAAGUGGGAAACGAUGUGGGAAGGCCCAGACAGCCAGGAUGUUGGCUUAGAAGCAGCCAUCAUUUAAAGAAAGCGUAAUAGCUCACUGGUCGAGUCGGCCUGCGCGGAAGAUGUAACGGGGCUAAACCAUGCACCGAAGCUGCGGCAGCGACGCUGAUGCGUUGUUGGGUAGGGGAGCGUUCUGUAAGCCUGUGAAGGUGGCCUGUGAGGGUUGCUGGAGGUAUCAGAAGUGCGAAUGCUGACAUAAGUAACGAUAAAGCGGGUGAAAAGCCCGCUCGCCGGAAGACCAAGGGUUCCUGUCCAACGUUAAUCGGGGCAGGGUGAGUCGACCCCUAAGGCGAGGCCGAAAGGCGUAGUCGAUGGGAAACGGGUUAAUAUUCCCGUACUUGGUGUUACUGCGAAGGGGGGACGGAGAAGGCUAUGUUGGCCGGGCGACGGUUGUCCCGGUUUAAGCGUGUAGGUGUGUGUUCCAGGUAAAUCCGGUUCACUUUAACACUGAGGCGUGAUGACGAGGCACUACGGUGCUGAAGCAACAAAUGCCCUGCUUCCAGGAAAAGCCUCUAAGCAUCAGGUAACAUCAAAUCGUACCCCAAACCGACACAGGUGGUCAGGUAGAGAAUACCAAGGCGCUUGAGAGAACUCGGGUGAAGGAACUAGGCAAAAUGGUGCCGUAACUUCGGGAGAAGGCACGCUGACACGUAGGUGAAGUGAUUUACUCACGGAGCUGAAGUCAGUCGAAGAUACCAGCUGGCUGCAACUGUUUAUUAAAAACACAGCACUGUGCAAACACGAAAGUGGACGUAUACGGUGUGACGCCUGCCCGGUGCCGGAAGGUUAAUUGAUGGGGUCAGCGCAAGCGAAGCUCCUGAUCGAAGCCCCGGUAAACGGCGGCCGUAACUAUAACGGUCCUAAGGUAGCGAAAUUCCUUGUCGGGUAAGUUCCGACCUGCACGAAUGGCGUAAUGAUGGCCAGGCUGUCUCCACCCGAGACUCAGUGAAAUUGAACUCGCUGUGAAGAUGCAGUGUACCCGCGGCAAGACGGAAAGACCCCGUGAACCUUUACUAUAGCUUGACACUGAACAUUGAGCCUUGAUGUGUAGGAUAGGUGGGAGGCUUUGAAGUGUGGACGCCAGUCUGCAUGGAGCCGGCCUUGAAAUACCACCCUUUAAUGUUUGAUGUUCUAACGUGGACCCGUGAUCCGGGUUGCGGACAGUGUCUGGUGGGUAGUUUGACUGGGGCGGUCUCCUCCUAAAGAGUAACGGAGGAGCACGAAGGUUGGCUAAUCCUGGUCGGACAUCAGGAGGUUAGUGCAAUGGCAUAAGCCAGCUUGACUGCGAGCGUGACGGCGCGAGCAGGUGCGAAAGCAGGUCAUAGUGAUCCGGUGGUUCUGAAUGGAAGGGCCAUCGCUCAACGGAUAAAAGGUACUCCGGGGAUAACAGGCUGAUACCGCCCAAGAGUUCAUAUCGACGGCGGUGUUUGGCACCUCGAUGUCGGCUCAUCACAUCCUGGGGCUGAAGUAGGUCCCAAGGGUAUGGCUGUUCGCCAUUUAAAGUGGUACGCGAGCUGGGUUUAGAACGUCGUGAGACAGUUCGGUCCCUAUCUGCCGUGGGCGCUGGAGAACUGAGGGGGGCUGCUCCUAGUACGAGAGGACCGGAGUGGACGCAUCACUGGUGUUCGGGUUGUCAUGCCAAUGGCACUGCCCGGUAGCUAAAUGCGGAAGAGAUAAGUGCUGAAAGCAUCUAAGCACGAAACUUGCCCCGA